Non-coding RNA from Rattus norvegicus (Norway rat), 480 nucleotides. The record is from RefSeq and is a predicted model, not a curated record. NCBI's taxonomy places the organism in Eukaryota, Metazoa, Chordata, Mammalia, Rodentia, Muridae.
ACCAGCAAGUCAAAUGCCAUCAGGGGACUAAGAGCCCGAGAGGAAGUUAGGGUACAGCCUUUAUUGUCUAGAUUUCUUCAAAUGAAGUCAGUGUCCAAGAAAGGCAAACCCAUCCUGGCUGUGUUUAAGCCUAAUCCAGCCGUAGCUAGCCUGUGCCACCUGCUUUGUGUUACAUAAGCCAUAGAUUUUUGCCUCAGACAGAUUUCUGUCUUCUGUAAUCACAGAAUCAAAAUGUGAGGAAGAGAGGGACUGGCUCAUCUUUUCUCAAAGCCUUUACCGGGAAGGACUCAGAGGGCCUUGCCUCGUGUACUCCGUCCCCUUUGAGUCUGCCUCUGUCCCAGAAGAUAUUGCUGAGCACCGCAGACAUACUGUGCUCAUGAGCAGCACGCCAUCGUGUAGAUAGAUUCAAUCUCUGCUGAUUGACAUUUGGGUUGAGUCUAUUCCCUAGGAUCAGACAAAAGGUAAGCACUUGAAAUAAAG